Long non-coding RNA from Sinocyclocheilus grahami, 360 nucleotides. RefSeq lists it as uncharacterized. NCBI's taxonomy places the organism in Eukaryota, Metazoa, Chordata, Actinopteri, Cypriniformes, Cyprinidae. The record is from RefSeq and is a predicted model, not a curated record. The transcript is spliced from 3 exons.
CAAAGAAGCAGUUCUAUCGCGCUUGCAGCUUGUGAACGAACACGCCCUGGUUUGGAGGAAUUCUCCAUUUCCCUAUAAAAUGAAAAUUCAUCUAGAAUUACAUCUUAUGUCAUCAUUAUGUUUAUUAAGCGUGGAUGAUGUAUAUGAACAGCGCUGGCUUGCCGCUGAGUGCUUAAUGAUGCAUAAGAUUAAGCCGAGGCUCUCAGCUGUGCUGUGACUCCCCUCUGGUUCCCAUGCUGCAGUAGCAUGCUGGGAGAACAAGCUCCAAACGGCCAUCAGCCAGACUAGCGCGCUCCGGCAUUCUCUGACAAAAACAUUAUCCUUCUGCUGCUAAACAAUCCAAUAAAGCUCUCUACGGGG